RNAcentral lists this unclassified non-coding RNA (361 nucleotides) under soil metagenome. Its description in RNAcentral is "partial contains 5.8S ribosomal RNA, internal transcribed spacer 2, and large subunit ribosomal RNA". The stretch from base 1 to 119 matches the Rfam family "5.8S ribosomal RNA", at positions 35 to 154 of the family's 154-position model. The record is from RNAcentral.
GAUGAAGAACGUAGCGAAAUGCGAUAAGUAAUGCGAAUUGCAGAAUCCGUGAGUCAUCGAAUCUUUGAACGCACAUUGCGCCCUCUGGUAUUCCGGAGGGCAUGCCUGUUCGAGCGUCAUUAAUAUAUCAACCUUCUCUUUUUUGAGUUGUUUGGAUGUGGGGGUUUGCUGGCCUCUUAAAUGAUUCAGCUCCCCUGAAAUGCAUUAGCAGAACAACCUGUUCAUUAGCGUGAUAAUUAUCUAUGCUAUUGAAUGUGAGGGCAGUUCAGCUUUCUAACCGUCCUUGGACAAUUCAUCAUUAAUGUGACCUCAAAUCAGGUAGGACUACCCGCUGAACUUAAGCAUAUCAAUAAGCGGAGGA